AUACGGAAGGUCCGGGCGUUAUCCGGAUUUAUUGGGUUUAAAGGGAGCGCAGGCGGAGAUGCAAGCGUGACGUCAAAUUUCGGGGCUCAACCCCGUCUCGCGUCGCGAACUGCGUCCCUUGGUUGCGGGAAGGGGAGGCGGAACUCGUGGUGUAGCGGUGAAAUGCAUAGAUAUCACGAAGAACUCCGAUCGCGAAGGCAGCCUUCCGGCCCGUCAACGACGCUCAUGCUCGAAGGUGCGGGUAUCAAACAGGAUUAGAUACCCUGGUAGUCUGCACAGUAAACGAUGGACACCCGCGGUUUGGCCUAUAUGGCUGAGCCGCCAAGCGAAAGCGUUAAGUGUCCCACCUGGGGAGUACGCCGGCAACGGUGAAACUCAAAUGAAUUGGCGGGG
This 393-nucleotide ribosomal RNA is filed under the name uncultured bacterium. Its description in RNAcentral is "partial 16S ribosomal RNA". It matches the Rfam family "Bacterial small subunit ribosomal RNA", at positions 523 to 918 of the family's 1533-position model. The record is from RNAcentral.